Molecule: long non-coding RNA, 785 nt
Organism: Eriocheir sinensis (Chinese mitten crab)
Lineage: Eukaryota; Metazoa; Arthropoda; Malacostraca; Decapoda; Varunidae
Exons: 3
Source: RefSeq, a predicted model, not a curated record
CCAGUAUGAAGCUCGAAGCUGAGGGGGGUGGACGCGUGUCUGACGUAGCUCCACUCCAGCCACUUUAGCCACAAUGGAUGCUGUCGCAGGACCUUCUGGAGUAAAAAUGACCCCGAAGCAGUUUUACAAGAAGAGGAAGAAAACAUUGACCAGUGAAGAAAUAGCAGAGAGCCUCACCUGUAGUGACACUGAAAAUAUGGGUGAAUAUGAUGACAAUGAAAUUGAUGACAUCGGCGAUCCCGAAAUACCAGAUAUUGGCAGCAGUAGUGAGGAAGAAGAGGAUGAAGAUACAGUUGUUUUGGUAUUGGAUGAUGCAGAAAUUAUUGAAGCUCCUCAUCCUCCAGCUAAACGUAAAAGAAAGAGACGCAUCAUCUGGAAACAAAUUACUCAAACAAGAGGACCACCUUCCAUUCCUGUUUUUGAUAGUGAAGAGCAGUCAGAAGAUGAGGUUUUGCUGACACCUUUGCAGUAUUUCAAGAAGUUUUUGUCUGAUGAUUUUCUCAAAGACAUUGUUGAGCAAUGCAAUUUGUAUGCUCUGCAGCAAAAUCCAAAUAAGCCACUAAGUCUUACAUGUAGUGAAUUUGAACAAUGGCUAGGAUGUUCCUUCUUCAUGUCAGUUAGUAAGAUACCCAAUACACGUCUUCAUUGGUCUUCUUACACAAUGAGUGACGCUGUAUCAUCAGUUAUGAGUAGGAAUAGGUGGGAAGAGAUCAAGUCCCAUUUGCACCUAGUGAAUAAUAAUACCAUUGACAAGACUGACAAAUUAUGCAAAGUAAGAAUGUUGG